Molecule: transfer RNA, 85 nt
Filed under: Selenomonas sp. FOBRC6
Lineage: Bacteria; Bacillati; Bacillota; Negativicutes; Selenomonadales; Selenomonadaceae
Description: tRNA-Leu
Rfam family: tRNA
About the family: Transfer RNA (tRNA) molecules are approximately 80 nucleotides in length. Their secondary structure includes four short double-helical elements and three loops (D, anti-codon, and T loops).
Source: RNAcentral
GCGGAUGUGGCGGAACUGGCAGACGCGCUGGACUUAGGAUCCAGUGCCGCAAGGCGUAUGGGUUCGAUCCCCUUCAUCCGCACCA